RNAcentral lists this non-coding RNA (944 nucleotides) under Etheostoma asprigene (mud darter). Its description in RNAcentral is "partial 12S ribosomal RNA". It matches the Rfam family "Bacterial small subunit ribosomal RNA". The record is from RNAcentral. Lineage: Eukaryota; Metazoa; Chordata; Actinopteri; Perciformes; Percidae.
CAAAGGCUUGGUCCUGACUUUACUAUCAACUUUAGCUAAACUUACACAUGCAAGUAUCCGCAUCCCCGUGAGAAUGCCCUACAGUUCCCUGCCCGGGAACAAGGAGCUGGUAUCAGGCACACCACAGCUAGCCCACGACACCUUGCUUAGCCACACCCCCAAGGGAACUCAGCAGUGAUAAACAUUAAGCCAUAAGUGAAAACUUGACUUAGUCAAAGCUAAGAGGGCCGGUAAAACUCGUGCCAGCCACCGCGGUUAUACGAGAGGCCCAAGUCGAUAGACACCGGCGUAAAGCGUGGUUAAGAUUCUCUUCAAAACUAAAGCCUAACACCUUCAGAGCUGUUAUACGCACCCGAAGGUAUGAAGACCAACAACGAAAGUGGCUUUAUAAUUCUGAACCCACGAAAGCUACGACACAAACUGGGAUUAGAUACCCCACUAUGCCUAGCCGUAACAUUGGCAACAAGCACAGGUGUUGCCCGCCUGGGAACUACAAGCAUUAGCUUAAAACCCAAAGGACUUGGCGGUGCUUUAGAUCCACCUAGAGGAGCCUGUUCUAGAACCGAUAACCCCCGUUCAACCUCACCUCCCCUUGUUAUCCCCGCCUAUAUACCGCCGUCGUCAGCUUACCCUGUGAAGGCUAAAUAGUAAGCAAAAUUGGUACAACCUAAAACGUCAGGUCGAGGUGUAGCGUAUGGGGUGGGAAGAAAUGGGCUACAUUUCCUAUUGCAGGAAAUACGAACGAUGCACUGAAACGUGCGUCCGAAGGAGGAUUUAGCAGUAAGAGGGAAGUAGAGCGUCCCCCUGAAAUUGGCCCUGAAGCGCGCACACACCGCCCGUCACUCUCCCCAAGCCUACUAACUCAAGUAACUAAGACCUUAAAAUCGCGGAGGGGAGGCAAGUCGUAACAUGGUAAGUGUACCGGAAGGUGCACUUGGAAAAAU